AGGAUCAUUAUUGAAUUUUGAUUUCGAGGAGAAAGGGCAUCGAUUGUCGCUGGCUGGCUUUUCAGCAUGUGCACAUCUAUGCUUUCUCACCUCGUCUCAUAUCCCACACACCUGUGCACCUAUUGUAGGUCCUCGAAAGAGGAUCUAUGUUUUUUCUACAUCACACACGUCGUAUGUCUAGAAUGUAUUUGAUAACUUGUCGAUCAGGCUUCAUUGUCCUGGUCCCCAAGGUUCAAUAAAACCACUAUACAACUUUCAGCAAUGGAUCUCUUGGCUCUCGCAUCGAUGAAGAACGCAGCGAAUUGCGAUAAGUAAUGUGAAUUGCAGAUUUCCAGUGAAUCAUCGAAUCUUUGAACGCACCUUGCGCUCCUUGGUAUUCCGAGGAGCAUGCCUGUUUGAGUGUCAUUGAAUUUCUCAACCAUGUCUUUUGUGCAUGGCUUGGACUUGGGGGUUUGCUGGCAGCCAUCAGCUCUCCUGAAAUGCAUUAGCAAAGGAUGUGCUAGUCUCUGGACGUGCACGGCCUUCGACGUGAUAAUGAUCGUCGUGGCUGGAGCGUUCUCUUUCAGGGGACCAUGCAUAUGAAUUUGCUUCUAAUACAGCAGCUAGUUACUAGUCGGUCAUGAGCCUGGCGAACACAGCUGAGAACUUUUCGAACCGUUGACCUCAAAUCAGGUAGGACUACCCGCUGAACUUAAGCAUAUCAAUAAGCGGAGGAAAAGAAACUAACAAGGAUUCCCCUAGUAACUGCGAGUGAAGCGGGAUGAGCUCAAAUUUUGAAUCUGGCGGUCUUUGGCCGUCCGAGUUGUAAUCUAGAGAAGCGUUUUCCGCGCUGGACCGUGUACAAGUCUCCUGGAAGGGAGCGUCAUAGAGGGUGAGAAUCCCGUCUUUGACACGGACUACCAGUGCUAUGUGAUGCGCUCUCGACGAGUCGAGUUGUUUGGGAAUGCAGCUCAAAAUGGGUGGUAAAUUCCAUCUAAAGCUAAAUACAGGCGAGAGACCGAUAGCGAACAAGUACCGUGAGGGAAAGAUGAAAAGAACUUUGGAAAGAGAGUUAAACAGUACGUGAAAUUGCUGAAAGGGAAACGCUUGAUGUCAGUCGCGUCGCCCAGGGAUCAACCUUGCUUUUCUUGCUGGGUGCAUUUCCUGGUCGACGGGUCAGCAUCAGUUUCGAUCGCCAUACAAUGAUCGAGGGAAUGUGGCACUCUUCGGGGUGUGUUAUAGCCUUUGAUCGUAUGUGGCGAUCGGGUCUGAGGAACUCGGCACGACUUCAUGUUUGUGUCUAGGAUGCUGGCAUAAUGGCCUUAAGCGACCCGUCUUGAAACACGGACCAAGGAGUCUAACAUGCCUGCGAGUGUUUGGGUGCCAAACCCGAGCGCGUAACGAAAGUGAAAGUCGAGACCUCUGUCGUGGAGGGCACCGACGCCCGGACCUGAGUCUUUGACAAUGGAUCUGCGGUAGAGCAUGUAUGUUGGGACCCGAAAGAUGGUGAACUAUGCCUGAAU
This 1502-nucleotide ribosomal RNA is filed under the name Hemileccinum rubropunctum. Its description in RNAcentral is "eukaryotic LSU rRNA". The stretch from base 659 to 1502 matches the Rfam family "Eukaryotic large subunit ribosomal RNA", at positions 1 to 842 of the family's 3401-position model. The record is from RNAcentral. Lineage: Eukaryota; Fungi; Basidiomycota; Agaricomycetes; Boletales; Boletaceae.